Molecule: long non-coding RNA, 8444 nt
Organism: Heterocephalus glaber (naked mole-rat)
Lineage: Eukaryota; Metazoa; Chordata; Mammalia; Rodentia; Bathyergidae
Source: Ensembl
UGACCAGGCCCAAGAACGUAAAGUUUGCUUUCUGCCUUCAAGUCCUGGGUGCCUUUCGGUGUUUCCCGUUUGCCAUUACACUCUGGCCUCCACGACACAGCGGGACUGCUCUCCUGUGCUCCUAGCCCACCGGGGGUCUAGUGAGGACCUAGGGAGGGACUGGGACUCGGUCUGGCCUCCCGAGUGGGAGUGCUCGGACGGGGACGUCACACCUCACUGUGAGCCUCCUCGGGGGUAAGGGAUGGGGAGAGACGAUGUGGCUCUGCGGCAGGGCGCUCGCGCAUUCAACCCCUCAGUCUGUCCUGGGGGCAUCGCGCGCACUUCACAGAGAACGCUGGCUGCUCCCCCUUCCGGAUCUUGGUUCCGAGGCCAUCAGUCAGCGCUGUUCACAGCGGACCGCAAAGACUGAGGUGACCGAAGAAGAAAACACGCUGUGGAAAGGACUGGCUUCCUUGGAGGGACCUGGGAACAUGUACAAUAGUUAAAAAGCAAAUGAUUUUUAGAACUUGCCUUAGCUGCUGCAUGGUGAAGACUGGUUCUACAGUCACCUCAGAACUUGGCUCUACCGCUUGCUGUGCAACCCCGGGAGCAUUAACCUUUGCUGCAGUUUCAUCAUUAGUGAAAUGGGGAUAACAGUAGUCCUAACCUUGUGAACUUGUUGCAGGAAAGUUACAGAAGUUUCACACGUAGAGCAAACUUAGAAAAGCUUCCACCAGGUGUGGUGGCCCAUGUAUAAUUUCAACACUCUAGGAGGCUGAGGCAGGAUUGCAGGUUUGAUCCCAGCUGAGGCAACUUGGUGACUUAGUCCCUAUCUCAAAAAAAGGUGUUGGAUGUAGCUCAUUGUGCAGCCCCUGAGUUCAGUCUCCCCAGUACCACCAAAUAAAAACAGUCCCCAGCACAUGGUGAGUGCUUUCCUUUUAGCUACUAUCGUGUUACAGGAAGUAUGUUUUAUGGCCUAAGACAUUUAACACUGUUGCCCUCUUUUGAGCUCUGAAUGAUCUUCCUGUUUGUGAAGCCCAUUACUGUUGGUGCUGCAGGGCCUCUGGUCAGUACUCAUGCACAGCAGGUUUUGCCUGCAGGCUUCUUUGAAGUUAGUACUAUCUCCCUGAAUUCCUUGGCUAGGGCAACCAUUGUUCUUCCCUGUUACCUGUGAGAGGCAUAAGGAAUCUUCCAAUCUAGAUAAUCAGCAUUGCAGUAGGCACUCUGGUGUUUAGGGAGUUAAUCUCAUCAUCUUUAAAAUAUGUUUGUAAAGGUGAAUGAUAAACCAUAAUCUCCUACUUGGGAGGCUGAGGCAUGAGGAUCAUUGAUUUCAAGACUAACAGGGGGCUCACCUGGAAAUUGAGUGAUAGUCUCCUUCAAAAUAAAAAGUGUUGGAGGUGUGGCUCAACAGUAGAGCACUUGCCUAGCACACCAGAUGCCCUGGGUUCAAUGCCCUGUGCUACAAAAAAGAAGAGAAUGGUUAACUAAAGCGCUUUUUGUCUAAGCAGGCCUCCCUCCCAGCCUUCAGGGGCUUGCUUCAUUACUGGAAACAGACCUGGACAGCAUUCAGUUUGAGAUAAAAGAACAAUACACUGGUCCUGGGUGUAGAAAUGCAAGUUUACUUCGAAAGAAGUAAUCUUGUGGACCUGGAAGAACUUUAAGGGUUUUGUCUGGGGGCAGCUAUGUAGUCUUAAUUCCUUGCUGCUGUGAAUGCACUUAUAUGUGAAAAACAAGGUGGUUGCCAGCCUGAGGAGCUAAAUAUCUCCAGUGAGGUGGAAACUGUUUUCUGUUCAUGGUUCUGUAAAUAGUUCUAAAGGUUUAAUGACAAUGACUUGAGAUUCUCCUGAGAUGUAUCAAAUUACAAGGCUUAAUUUGUAAAGUCUAGUGAUUAUAAAGUAGUAGUGUCAAAAUUUAAUUGCACAGUUACAUUUCUUUUUUUGUUUUGUUUUGUUCUUUUUGAGUCAGGAUCUUGCUAUGUAGUUCUCACUGGUCUUGAACUCACUGUGUAGACCAGGCUGGCCUCAAAGUCCCAGCAAUCUCUCUGCCUUAGCCUCCCAAGUACUGGAAUUACAAGCAUGGGACACUACCCCCGAGCUGUUUGCCUUUUCUAACCAAAAAAGAACCUUCUCUGAGCAGAUGGAUCUCCUGAAGUAUGGUGCUGGCAGUCUGGUUGCAUCUGAACUGUGAGCGGCUGGACUAUUGUCCCCAUCAUCGAACUCUCAGCACGCAGAGCAGCAAUUCAGUCUCCUACAAGUAGGGUACACGUACACUGGAAAGAGCAUAACCUAGAUUAUGUACUGAAAUUUUCACUUUACUACAAAGAGUAAUAAGCCAAAGAAGGUUAUUGUUAUAACAAUCUUGGCUUGGAAUACACCAAUGUGGUGAGAGGGUUACCUAACUGUAUUCUAGAAGACCUAGGUUCUUGGGAGAAACAUAAUCGCAUUUCACAUCCAAAGAAGCCAGCAGUAACUAGUGCCACAACCACGCAGAAGUCUGUACCAGUGACAUAGCUUAUUUCCAGGGGAAGUGCAACUCUUAACAAUUCCUCCGAGGCCACAUGGAGACCAGGUUUUAAAGUAGCAGGAUUGGGCAACAGAUGGAUUUCUAUUUAAUGGUACUGAAUACAAAUGUGUAAAGUUACGCCCACCAUUUUAUAUGGUAAAGGACCAGACACAGAGCAUGUUGCCUUGAAUGAACACAUCUUGCGUAAUGUGCGUAUACUAACCCUGUGUGCUUUGAUGUCCAUAUAUUAUCAUUUAGACAAAUCUUAGGCUCACAGCACAUUCACUCUUAGAUUGACACAUACAUAAAAGUGGUUCAUCAAGCCAGAGUGUAAACAUACCCUGGAUAAAAAGACUUUACAAAGCUAACCGAAAUUUAAACACUGCCUCUGUUACGACAGUUUCUUAAGUCAGUAGGCCAACACAAAAACACAAGAAAUAAUCUCAAUAAAACACAGGAGGUUGGAUGUGGUACCUCAUGUAUUGAGGAGGCUGAGGCAAGAGGAUUGCUGUGAAUUUAAAGCCAGCCUGAACUACAUAGCGAGACCCUGUUUCAAAAAAUGUAUACAACCCUUGUUCUUUACGUCAGUUUUAUAAAUGUAAUUAUGAGCUGUCCUGUGUUUUAAGAAAACCUUGUUACUUUAGAGAAUUAGAUUUUCCUUCCAUAUCAACGUGAUACAUUUUCUUUUGAAAAGCACUUAAAAGAGCCUUUUUAAUUAUGAGCAGUUCAGUCCCACAAACAAGAAUUUUAACAGUUGUGUUUUAGAAUCCCUUUACAACCUGUUCAGGUACUUUACUGGUUUUAAAAAUUUAGUCAUUUAUUUUAUUUAUUCUCUUUUCAGUUUGUGGCUCAGAAUGGCUUUAAAGUCACUAUGUAGCCCCUCCAAUUCGUGGCAAUCCUCCAGCCUCAGGCUCCCAAGUGCUGGGAUUGUAGGUGUGGACCACCUUGCCCGGACAAUCUAGAACAAAAGAAAAAAUGUUUGCCAUCCCAAGUCCUUUUGCAUCCAAGAUGUUUAUCUAAAAGUGAAAGUAGGGGAGAGAAAGGGAAGGGUAGAGUAAUGCUUUUCCAGUCCCAAGAGACUGUAGCUAGGAGCUGAAGGAGUCCCCAGGGGCAAACCUCCCUUUCAUUGCAUAUAAAAUUCUAUGCCAGAAUAGUAAUGCUGAGCAUCUUUAGUGAUGACCCAGGAAGAGAGCAAUUUUAAACCGUUUACAUAGAUUGAGAUUUAAGAGAAAUUCCAUACACCAGGAUAUAUUGUCUUUGUAUUUACUUUAAGAACCUAUGAAUACUUGACUUUGUUUUAACUGAUUACUCAAAUGAUUUAAUAAACAUUUACAAGCAUUUCUCACAUGUAGAUGUAUUUUAUCAAUGCUCACAACUAUUUUAGCUUAUCCAUUAUAAGAGAGGUAUUUGACCAUCGUAGUGAACGUUAGCCCUGUUUAGCGUGUGUUUCCAUGGCUUUAUAUCUUUAAGAAGUCACCUGAGCCAGCACCUCCGUCCUCUUUCUCGUCUUGGCUAAGCUGGAGCAGACUAUGUGCUCCUGUGUGCUAAAUAUUUGUGGCAGGAAGAAGAGGGAGGAAAGGAAAGGACAUUCAGAUGGAGCAGAGGAACACAUUUGAAGAUUCCUGUGCUUGUCCAUGUGAACUCUGGAGGAGACAGGCUUGUGGUGAAGCUGGAGAGUGGGGACUGGGGGAACCUAUGGGAGAGUGACUGAUCCAGGGACCUGGGAGGGAGCUGAUAGCAGUGAGAGUAGGAGCCAGAGAGGAACUACAGCCUUUCUCAAAGAAGCCACCCUCUAGAGAUAAUUGUAGUGACAGUUUGUGUAUAAGUUUCAGAAAGCAGAGUGCAGUGGGACCUGAUUAAAUCAAGAUCUGCUCAGAUGGUUAGCUGUUCAUAACCAUGGAUUGCUUCAGUGUGGAAAUUCAGAUUGACUUCAGUGAGGGUGACAAAUUGUUUUAUAUGGCCCUUGAGUCAGGUCCCCAGGCAGAUCCUUAGGAUAGCGAUGAAUGGCACCAACAACACUGCUGUUGAACUAGUGGGUGCACUACCUCGUGUGUUCUCCCAGUAGCCUGUGCAGUGUGCAUUACUAACUCUCCCAUCUUGAGAAUCAGGAAAGCAAGGUUAGAGUGGUGAGAUGAUUCCCAGCCUUCACAUUCCUCCCAAAUGGACCACUUUUUAUACCCAACACACUCAUACCCAGCAGCAUGCUGGAACAGGUGAGAAAGCCUGCAUCCUGGAGCCAGUGUUGUCCUUCAGGAACAGGAAAAGGAGUGUCUGGCUUUGGGAACACAGGAACUAAAGUGGGCUCCUGAGGGACCCGCCCCGCUGGCCAGUGCUCAGGUCCCGAGCUCAGUUCCACACCUUCCCGCCUUGGUUGGAUCUGGUGGGUUCAGUGGUAUCUUCUGGAUGUGGGAGGUGAGGUCCGACAAGAUAGAUCCACGUCCAUAACAUAGGGUAAAAUGCAGUGAGAACGGGGAGAGGGAAAAAGAAUGCCUCCCGUUUGGGACGCUUCACACUGCCUAACAUUUCCUGAGAGGGAAUCGAGGUCCUCUGGGCCACUUGCAUACUCUGAGCCUGAGUGAAGACGACUUGCUGGAAGAGCCAGACACAGAUGACAAGAACAUGUGCUUUAUUGAGAAAUAUCAACUAUGUGUAUUUGGGAUGAUGGGGUAGCACAUAGUGGGGGGAAAUAUGGGGAUGUGGGGUGGUCCUAACUGCUCAAGGGGUCCUUCAGGCUGGAUCCAUUUGCCUCUAAGACAUCAACUUCUCUUUGGAGCCUGCUGAGGGCGGCUCUUGGUGUCCUGCUUAGGAUCCUGUCUUCUACAUCUCUUAGAAAGGACUCUCGAGCAGCCGGUGGAAGGCCUGCCCCAUGAGCAAACAGGUUCUCUGUGGUCUGGGGGCGUCAUCCUCUGGGUGUGCUGAGGAGGUGGAGGGCUCUGUGAUCCCUGACUUGUGGCUGCUGCUCCCCUCGACUGCCGUCUGCAGAGAAGGGGAGAAUGAGUUAGAUACACGUAAUAUCAAUACAAUGGAGUCAAUAUUUACUCCUUUAUGGAAUUCACAUCCUUUUAUCAGAAAGGCGACUUCAGUGCGGUCUCAGUAAUCAGAAAUACUGAAAAUAUUCACACACACAAUUUUUGGCAUCACAAUAGUGCUUCCCUUUGUUCCCCCCCCCCCCCCGUGCCCCUUGGUAUUUCCCUGCCUCUCCUCCCUGAGUCCUUUCCUUGCUGUCUUAGCCUCUUGCUAGUCUUGUGCAUCCCCCAGGAUCCAGCCCCACUUCACAGCAGGUCACUCCCAGCCCCGUGCUGUUCACCUGCUCCCCACUGGGCCUGGCCCUUGCUCUCUGGGAGGCAGCUCUGUUCACCUCGGCACGUUCCUGUCCCUUCAGUGUCACAGGCAGCUUUGGGACUGGGAUGACAUCUGUGUUUCCUGAUGGUUUGCACAUGGGCGAGUCUAGACAUGCCUCAUGUCCCUAAUGAGUGAGCUGGGCAGGGGAACAGCUGCUCAGCCUGAGGUCUUUGGCCAGAGUAAGUUUGAGGCAAUCCUGGUCCUCAUCUUUCUUCUUCUUCCGAAUUUUUUGGGGAUUUUCAUUGUCUUCCUUUUGGAUUUCUUCAUCAUCCAUGUAAAAGCCCUGAAAUGUCUUCAGCAGUUUCACAAGACCAUCCAGUUUUCCUUCAGUACAUUUUGUUUCAUCUUUGCCUCUGUAGAUUUUCAUGAGCAGCUGAUUCUUCAAAGCCAUUGUCGUCAGCCCAGGGCACAGUGAUACCUAGGUUGUAGAUCUGCUGUGGGUCAUCCUGAAGUAGCUUUCAUAGGUUGGGCCAUCUCUUGUUCCCUUCAGGCCCCCACCUGCCUUGGAUAGCAGAGAUGAGGUCACCUGAAGAACACACACUGGGAGUCGUGUCUUCAGGAAGGAUGAUGUCCUCACAGGACGAGGGCUCUUCACUGGGGAGACAGCCCCCAGAGAGGCUCAGCAUGCAUUUGGUUUCAGAAUUGCAGUCCUCUGUGUCAGAGGGGUCACUGCUAGGGGAUGAGGAUGCCAUGGGAUUGAAGAACCAAUAUGAGAGUCUCCGUCAACACCGGAAGCUUCCAAAGGGGAAAAAAAUGGGAGAUAUUGGGGAGAAAAUUCACUGCCAACUCCUGGAGCAUAAACAGGAGAUGUGAGAGAGUCUUUAGCACUCAAAUCUCUGUGGCUAAUGGUGAGGUAGGUCAUAAUCCAUCUUCUGUGACUGCUGGUUACCAUGGCAAUAUCCAAACCAGUCUAGCCAGACAGUAGGACUAGAGAGAAAAGGGAUAAGAAACCACAGAAUCUAUCCCCUUCCUUCUGAAACAUUGUGACUACACACCAUGCAGGCUGAAGGGUCCCUCUUGAGGCCAGAAAGAGCAGUGCUACAGGGUGGGGUUUACUUUCCUCUUUCCUUGAGGCAUCAGAGAUCAUUCCUAUUCUCAAGGAAUGGAGACUUUGGGGGGGAGACCAGCAUAAACAGCCUAGGACACAGUCAAAGACAGGGUGGUAAGUGCCACAGAAGAACUCAAAAUUGGGUCCUGAGUGGAUGUACCUGAGUUCGGCUCUUACCUUGGAUGCUCGAGGCUCUAGGUUUGAUCCCAGCACUGCAGUUGAAAAAGAAUUGAUCCUCAUUGGGAAAUUUCAGUCCUUUUUGGCCAAACUGCAGUCCUUUUAGUUCUGAUUUCCUCCCCCCCUCCAUUGGGCUGACCUGGCAUCUCCAGAUGUGUGGCCAGUCUACUUCAGGUUGCCCAGAGCUUAGCUCUAGACUGGUAACUUGCAGUGGGUCUUGUGCUCACAGCUGAGCUAGUAGUAACAAGGAGAUGGGUUUUAGGGACAGUUCCAACUAAUUUGUAUAGUUCUUAUUCAUACACAGUGUAUGAUUCAUUUGUUUGUAGUGUGUUCACACUGGUACAAUUAUCACUAUAUUAGGAACAUUUUCUCAACCCUAAAGAAAAUCUCCAUACUUUGUAGUAAUAACAACUCCCCAUUCAUUCCCAACCCACCCAUCCUUAGGCAACUAUAAAUCUAUCUAGUUUCUGCCUCUGGAGCUUGGCUUUUUGUGAACAUUUCAUGCAGUUUAGGGUAUUUGGACCUAAUAUGAUGCUUUUCAGGCUUGUUUAUAUGAAAGCAUGUAUACACUAAUCUUUUCAUUGCCGAGUUAUAUUCCACUGCAUGGAUAAGCCAUGUUUUGUGUUUGCUUUCACGAUGUAACAGGUACUUGGGUUGUUUUGUAUCUUGUGUCAUUAUGAGUGAUGCUGUUGCCAUCAGUUAAGGGGCAAUGAAUUUGUAGUUCCCUUAGAUAAAAAUCUACAAGUUAAUUUCAUAAUGGUUGUGUUUUUAACCUUUGAAUGAGCCACCAGAUUGUUAGUCUAAAGAUGUCCCAUUUUAGUGUCUGAGUAUUUAGUUCAUUCACAUCUGUACCUGCAGUUAUUCUUAUUUUACCAAUUGUCCUGAGCCUGGAGUGAUGGCUCAUUUUGGUUGUGCUUUUUAUCUUUCUUGUGGUCAGCAUCAUUUGGUGUGCAUGUUGGCCAUCCAUGUUGGUAAAGAAGGCUCGUUUCCCUUGUGAGCAGUUCCCCUUCAACCUUCCCCUUCCCUGUGGUUGCCCUGGUAAAUCUGUUUCUAUAGUAUAGAUAAUGACAUCACCAUAUCCUGUUUUUACAAAAGUCUGUUUCCUCUUCCUCAAAUGAAACCACCCGAUGUGCAGAGUUGCAAACUCUCACUGUGUAAAAUUAAACAUCUUUGUUCUGCUUUUGUAGCCUUGUUUCCGCAUGUAACAGUAUAAAAGAACUGUAUAGCUCCCAGUCAGUGCUCAGUUUGGAGUACAUAACACCUCUGGGUCGGCCAGCGAAACAAAGCUGUUUCCCUCCCCGUCUCUUGAGUGCCACUCAGUUUCUUCGCCUCCAGUAAACCUAAAAUUGCUGUAACAGUGUCUCUAGAGAAGCUCUGUGGGCUGCAUCAAGGCCUC